AGCGAGUCGUAAUGGCGUACUAAGGGAUCUUCAAAAUCCUGAAGCGGUCUCCAAAACCGCGAUUGUUGGUUCAAAUCCAGCACUCGCUGCCA
This 92-nucleotide transfer RNA is filed under the name Candidatus Scybalousia scybalohippi. RNAcentral's name for it is "tRNA-OTHER". The record is from RNAcentral. Lineage: Bacteria; Pseudomonadati; Bacteroidota; Bacteroidia; Bacteroidales.